RNAcentral lists this ribosomal RNA (484 nucleotides) under uncultured bacterium. Its description in RNAcentral is "partial 16S ribosomal RNA". It matches the Rfam family "Bacterial small subunit ribosomal RNA", at positions 30 to 507 of the family's 1533-position model. The record is from RNAcentral.
AUUGAACGCUGGCGGCAGGCCUAACACAUGCAAGUCGAGCGGAUGAAGGGAGCUUGCUCCUGGAUUCAGCGGCGGACGGGUGAGUAAUGCCUAGGAAUCUGCCUGGUAGUGGGGGAUAACGUCCGGAAACGGGCGCGAAUACCGCAUACGUCCUGAGGGAGAAAGUGGGGGAGCUUCGGACCUCACGCUAUCAGAUGAGCCUAGGUCGGAUUAGCUAGUUGGUGGGGGAAAGGCCUACCAAGGCGACGAUCCGGAACUGGUCUGAGAGGAUGAUCAGUCACACUGGAACUGAGACACGGUCCCGACUCCUACGGGAGGCAGCAGUGGGGAAUAUUGGACCAUGGGCGAAAGCCUGAUCCAGCCCUGCCGCGUGUGUGAAGAAGGUCUUCGGAUUGUAAAGCACUUUAAGUUGGGAGGAAGGGCAGUAAGUUAAUACCUUGCUGUUUUGACGUUACCAACAGAAUAAGCACCGGCUAACUUCGUG